Molecule: ribosomal RNA, 253 nt
Filed under: uncultured bacterium
Lineage: Bacteria
Description: partial 16S ribosomal RNA
Rfam family: Bacterial small subunit ribosomal RNA
Source: RNAcentral
UCCCGCGGGUGCGAGCGUUAAUCGGAAUUACUGGGCGUAAAGCGCGCGUAGGCGGCUUCGCAAGUCGAGUGUGAAAUCCCCGGGCUCAACCUGGGAACUGCAUUCGAGACUGCGUUGCUAGAGUAUGGGAGAGGGAGGUGGAAUUUCAGGUGUAGCGGUGAAAUGCGUAGAUAUCUGAAGGAACAUCAGUGGCGAAAGCGACCUCCUGGACCAAUACUGACGCUCAUGUGCGAAAGCGUGGGGAGCAAACAGG